This is an RNA transcript of Vidua macroura (Pin-tailed whydah), 2877 nucleotides long. It is a transcript of the gene named DAZ interacting zinc finger protein 1, with no coding region annotated. The record is from RefSeq and is a predicted model, not a curated record. Lineage: Eukaryota; Metazoa; Chordata; Aves; Passeriformes; Viduidae. The transcript is spliced from 21 exons.
AGCCGCCGCCCGCCGCGGCACCGCCGGUAACGGCCGGGGCGGGAGCGGCCGCAGCCCCGCCGCCCCUCCGCAGCCCUCCGCCCGCCGAGACCCGCGGAGCUGCAGCCGGAGGUGAUGUGAACUAGUGUGCGGCAGAAAUUUGGACUGGACGAUGAUCACCAGAGGUCCCUUGAGAACAUCUCUGCCGGGGCUGCUAUAGCGACGCGGAGGACGCCGGCGCCGUGCGGAGCCGCAGGGACGGAGCCCGGACAUGCCCUUCUCCCAGCGCACCUACCACCCUCCGGCGGCCGGGCCCGACGCGGGGCCGGUGGUGUUUCCCCCGUUCCAGUUCCGCGGGCGGCACGAGAACCCGGACUGGCGGCGGCUGAGCACCGUGGACGUGGAGCGGUUGUCGCGGGAGGGGGACGUGUCGGCCCUGCAGGCGCACCUGGAACAUGUCACCUUCUGCAGCGCCGAGCGGGAGUGCUGCCCGCACUGCCAGGGCCCCGCAGACCCGCUGCUGCUGAAGCUGCUGCGCCUGGCGCAGCUCUCUACCGAGUACCUGCUGCACUCCCAGGAGUACCUCAGCGCCCAGCUCGGCAGCCUGGAGGAGGCCCUGAGAGAGGCACAGGCCCAGCGUGACCAGCUGGGCAAGGAAUUGGUCCAGCGCUCACAGGAGAUCCAGGAGCUUAAGGAGGAGUGCCGGCGGAGGAAGAAGAUGAUCAGCACCCAGCAGAUGAUGCUGGAAGCACGAACCAACUACCACCAGUGUCCAUUUUGUGAAAAGGCUUUUAUGACCUCAUCAUAUUUAAAAAGUCACAUUCAAAGGCGUCACCCAGAAGAGUCUGAGAUCGAACAGAAGAAGAAAGGAAAUAUAGAAAAAUUGCAGGAUGAGAUUGAAAAACUGAAGGAACAGUUGCAGCUCACCAAGUCCCAGUUAGAGUUUGAACAACAGGCUAAUUUGGCCAGGUUGUCUAAGGAGUGUGACCAGCAAAAAUCAAAAGAAGAAGAGUUUCUACAAUCAUUUCAUAAAUGGAAAGAUGAAGAAAGAGAGAAAUUUGCUGAUCAAAUAGAAAAAGUGAAAGAUAUGUUUACGAAAGAGCUUAAGGACUUGCAUUCAAGAAAUUCAACCUUAGAAAAUCAACUGUUAGAAUUACAAAAGUCCAAUAUGCAACAAAAAUCCAAUUUAGGAAUACUGAAAGACAGCUAUGAAUUUACAGAGGAGAAACCUCAUCAUCUUCACGAUCAUCCAUAUGUGGUUAGACUUCUGGAAAAACAGGAAAAAAAGUGGAUGUCUUGUAUGCAAGCCAAGUGUCAUGACCAUGAGGCAGAAACGUCCCUGCUGCGGUCAGAGGUUGAGAACACCAAAACAUCAGCAAGAGAAGACCUGAACAGAAAUAACAUCUUUUACAGGAAGAGGAUAGAAGAAUUAGAGCGGAAGAUUCAGGACCAGAAUGAUCUGAUUAAUAAUCAGAAGAAGCAGAUAAGAGAACUGUCCACAAAACCAGCUCCAAGUGUUAAAACAUAUGAUGUGAACACUCCUGUAGAGCGUCUUCAAGAACCUAAACCAAGUCCAUCAGUUCCUCCACAUGAAACUGAGAAAAGUGAUCUAAAACCAGACAGAAGUAAUAGCUAUUUAAUAAAUGCUCUGAAGUCUGAUCCUUCUUUAACUAAAGAAUUGCGAGUUGUUUUGGAGGAAGCUCUGGAGGAGAAGCUGGAAUCCUUGGGAAUUAAAGCAGGUGUUCGUGGAAUAUCAAGUGAUCGCUUAAAUAAAAUUUUGCGAGCUAUUGAAUAUGCCAGAGAGCGCAAAGAGAAGCAAGAGCCCACCAUUCAUGGAAUUCGAGAGCAUCUUCAACGUCAAGUUGGCCUUCGGGUUGAAGAGAAAUCAUUAUCUUGUAGCAGAGCUGGUUGCUGUGCUCAGCUUCUUGGCGAAGAAAAACACAGGUUCAACCCAUUGGGAAUUUCUUCAUUUACCACACCUCAAAAACCAUCAAAGUGGUCUCCAUCAGCUGUCCGCCCACCUGGACAAAGAAAAAUCAUCCCUGAGUAUAAUUCUACACCAAAAUCCAGGAAAAUUCUUGGAAGUGGAGCUUCCAGAAAGACAUCUAGCAUCACAACACCACCAUUCAGUUCAGAGGAAGAAGCUGAUGAAGAUGAUAUGAAACAGUCUUAUGUAACACCAGAGGCAUUGCAAAAGCAGUCAAAACCAUCAAGCAGCAUAGUCCAUGCUUUUCAGAAGCCUUUUGGCAAAAGCAAUGGGGAUGGGAUGGAGGAAAAUGGACCUCAAGAAACUGGAACACCUGCCAAAACUUCUAAAGGAACAGUUAUUCAAAAACUGACCAAACAAGUUGGAGAGAGUCUUUCUAACCAUGGAAAUAAGAACAAACCAGCUGGAGGAAUUAAUGUUGCACAGGCAUUUAUUAAGAAAGAAGGAGUGAAAGAACCAAAGCUCACAGAAGCUGAUGAAGAUGAUUGGGAUAUUUCAUCAGUAGAAGAAGACGUUUUAUUGAUGAAAGAUGACAGAGGUCAGAAGGCAAUGACAGUUGAGAAAAACGAGCCCAAUGCUGCAUCUGUGGUACAUGCAUGGGGCCUUUCCAAGAAAAGUGCACCAAAGGAGGAAGGCCUUCAUGAAGCUGAUAAUACAAGCACGUUAAAAAGCAGCUUAGUCACUGUAACAGACUGGAGUGAUUCUUCAGACAUAUAAUUGUUCCAUUCCUGAUUGGAGGUCCUGCUUUUGGGUUCUGCUGGGGUUCAAAAUGCAGAAUUACUGUUUUCAGCUAUUGAGAAGCAGAAUAUAAUGCCACCAAUUAUGCAGAGUGAAGCUCCAGCCCAUCCAAUGAACAAAGCUGCUCCUAAUUCAUACCUACAAGAAGUUAAUAAAUGUAUUUAACAAAAGAG